This 466-nucleotide ribosomal RNA is filed under the name uncultured bacterium. Its description in RNAcentral is "partial 16S ribosomal RNA". It matches the Rfam family "Bacterial small subunit ribosomal RNA", at positions 28 to 507 of the family's 1533-position model. The record is from RNAcentral.
GAUGAACGCUGGCGGCGUGCUUAACACAUGCAAGUCGAACGAUGAGGCCCAGCUUGCUGGGUUGAUUAGUGGCGAACGGGUGAGUAACACAUGAGUAACCUGCCCUUGACUCUGGCAUAAGCCUGGUAAACUGGCUCUAAUACUGGAUAUGACUUCUCAUCGACUGGUGGGGGGUGGAAAGAUUGAUUGGUCUUGGAUGGACUCUCGGCCUAUCAGCUUGUUGGUGACGUAAUGGCUCACGAAGGCGACGCCGGGUAGCCGACCCGAGGGGGGGACCGGCGACACUAGGACUGAGACACGGCCCAGAAUCCUACGGGAGGCAGCAGUCGGGAAUAUUGCAGAAUGGCGGCAAGUCUGAGACAGAGGCGCUGCGUGCGUGAUGCUGUCCUACGAGGUGUGAACAUCUUUCUGUAGAGAAGAAGCGGGCGUGACGGUACCUGAAGAGAAAGCGCCGGCUAACUACGUG